GACGAACGCUGGCGGCGUGCUUAACACAUGCAAGUCGAACGGAAAGGCCCUGCUUUUGUGGGGUGCUCGAGUGGCGAACGGGUGAGUAACACGUGAGUAACCUGCCCUUGACUUUGGGAUAACUUCAGGAAACUGGGGCUAAUACCGGAUAGGAGCUCCUGCUGCAUGGUGGGGGUUGGAAAGUUUCGGCGGUUGGGGAUGGACUCGCGGCUUAUCAGCUUGUUGGUGGGGUAGUGGCUUACCAAGGCUUUGACGGGUAGCCGGCCUGAGAGGGUGACCGGCCAAAUGGGGACUGAGAUACGGCCCAGACUCCUACGGGAGGCAGAAGUGGGGAAUAUUGCACAAGGGGCGGAAGCCUGAGGCAGCAACGCCGCGUGCGGGAUGACGGCCUUCGGGUUGUAAACCGCUUUCGCCUGUGCCGAAGCGUGAGUGACGGUAAUGGUAAAGAAGCACCGGCUAACUACGUG
RNAcentral lists this ribosomal RNA (467 nucleotides) under uncultured bacterium. Its description in RNAcentral is "partial 16S ribosomal RNA". It matches the Rfam family "Bacterial small subunit ribosomal RNA", at positions 28 to 507 of the family's 1533-position model. The record is from RNAcentral.